UACGUAGGGUGCGAGCGUUAAUCGGAAUUACUGGGCGUAAAGCGUGCGCAGGCGGUUUUGUAAGACAGGCGUGAAAUCCCCGGGCUCAACCUGGGAAUUGCGCUUGUGACUGCAAGGCUGGAGUGCGGCAGAGGGGGAUGGAAUUCCGCGUGUAGCAGUGAAAUGCGUAGAUAUGCGGAGGAACACCGAUGGCGAAGGCAAUCCCCUGGGCCUGCACUGACGCUCAUGCACGAAAGCGUGGGAGCAAACAGG
RNAcentral lists this ribosomal RNA (252 nucleotides) under uncultured bacterium. RNAcentral describes it as "partial 16S ribosomal RNA". It matches the Rfam family "Bacterial small subunit ribosomal RNA", at positions 524 to 776 of the family's 1533-position model. The record is from RNAcentral.